This 345-nucleotide long non-coding RNA is filed under the name Pan troglodytes (chimpanzee). RNAcentral's name for it is "long non-coding RNA NONPTRT004793". The record is from RNAcentral. Lineage: Eukaryota; Metazoa; Chordata; Mammalia; Primates; Hominidae.
AUCACUGUAACACUUUAAAUCCAGCUACUCUACCACCUCUCCCUGGUGUUCCCACACAUUAAGCUGGGAGAGGCAGCAGAGUACAGGAUUAAGCAUAGACAUAUCAUGGCUCCACCGCUAUCUCAUAGCUGUGCGGCUGUGGUUACCUAACCUUUCUGUGCCUUAGUUUCUUUGUGGAAAGUUAAGAGCUAACAACAGUAUUUCCCUCAUAGGGGUAUUGUGGACAUUAAAUGAGGGGAUGUAUCUAAAGCACCUACAGUGCCAGGUAUAGCAAACGUUCAAUAAUGUUAACAGUGAUCUUAAUACAAGCUGCACAAUUAAGGAUUUAAUAAAUUUUGCAAGCUA